AUACGUAGGGAGUAAGCGUUGUUCGGAAUUACUGGGCGUAAAGGGUGUGUAGGCGGGAGCGCAAGUUGGGGGUGAAAUCUACGGGCUCAACUCGUAAACUGCCCUCAAAACUGCGCUUCUUGAGUAUGGGAGAGGAGUCUGGAAUUCCCAGUGUAGGGGUGAAAUCUGUAGAUAUUGGGAAGAACAUCAGUGGCGAAGGCGAGACUCUGGCCUGAUACUGACGCUGAGACACGAAAGCGUGGGGAGCAAACAGGAUUAGAUACCCUGGUAGUCCACGCCCUAAACGUUGUACACUAGAUGUCGGGGGUAUCGAUUCCCCCGGUGCCGAAGCUAACGCAUUAAGUGUACCGCCUGGGGAGUAUGCUCGCAAGGGUGAA
This 377-nucleotide ribosomal RNA is filed under the name uncultured bacterium. RNAcentral describes it as "bacterial SSU rRNA". It matches the Rfam family "Bacterial small subunit ribosomal RNA", at positions 523 to 898 of the family's 1533-position model. The record is from RNAcentral.